RNAcentral lists this small RNA (642 nucleotides) under uncultured Dysosmobacter sp. The record is from RNAcentral. Lineage: Bacteria; Bacillati; Bacillota; Clostridia; Eubacteriales; Oscillospiraceae.
CGGCGGCGCAGUAUUCUAGUCAGAUCUGCCGUUUCCUAGGGAGGGCCUAAAAAUCCUCUGAAGGGCAUACCGAUGAAACCCGUGGUGCCUGCUUGAUACGCCCAGUUUCGGGUGGGUGCUGGGGGGAAGCGUGCGGCGCACGCUUGCGGACUCAGGGCGCUUUCCAAUGGCAUGGUUAUCCCGACCCUGUUUCCGUGGAGACCUGUUCUUGUGCACAGACGUACUCCCGCAGUGGUAUUUCCGGCCUGUGUACGAAACAGAAUAUGAACCUGCAAUGCGGUGCAUCGGCCCUCUUAGGGGCCGUAACGCUGUGUGCAGAUGUAGCCUGCCUUGCGUGGGGCAGGUGGAUGGGGGAACAACGCGGUGUUUCGCUCUGGCCAGAGCAGCCGGCCGCGAUCGCCCCCUGAAACCUGGUCUGCAAAAGAGGCUAAAGAAACGGACAGACUGUGGUGGAAAUCACCUAGGCUGUCAUCCCGGGCGAAAAAAGGAUUGCAGUGCGGACUAAGUGGCAGUCGGGUCGCAUGGCCGGCGACGCCGUGCCGCGGCGCUGAAAGGGGAACCGCCUCCAUCGGCAACGAGAGGUGUGCCGCGGGGAAAUCCAACCCGUACCUAAGCCGUAAGAUUUACUUUUUUCGCCGCCGU